GACGAACGCUGGCGGCGUGCCUAAUACAUGCAAGUCGAACGAGAGCACCCGGUGCUUGCACUGGUCAAUCUAGUGGCGAACGGGUGAGUAACACGUGGGUAACCUGCCCAUCAGAGGGGGAUAACAUCCGGAAACGGAUGCUAAAACCGCAUAGGUCUUCGAACCGCAUGGUUUGAAGAGGAAAAGAGGCGCAAGCUUCUGCUGAUGGAUGGACCCGCGGUGCAUUAGCUAGUUGGUGAGGUAACGGCUCACCAAGGCCGUGAUGCAUAGCCGACCUGAGGGGGUGAUCGGCCACAUUGGGAGUGAGACACGGCCCAAACUCCUACGGGAGGCAGCAGUAGGGAAUCUUCCGCAAUGGGCGCAAGUCUGACGGAGCAACGCCGCGUGAGUGAAGAAGGUGUUCGGAUCGUAAAACUCUGUUGUUAGAGAAGAACAAGUGCUAGAGUAACUGUUAGCGCCUUGACGGUAUCUAACCAGAAAGCCACGGCUAACUACGUG
RNAcentral lists this ribosomal RNA (498 nucleotides) under uncultured bacterium. RNAcentral's name for it is "partial 16S ribosomal RNA". It matches the Rfam family "Bacterial small subunit ribosomal RNA", at positions 28 to 507 of the family's 1533-position model. The record is from RNAcentral.